Molecule: ribosomal RNA, 379 nt
Filed under: uncultured bacterium
Lineage: Bacteria
Description: bacterial SSU rRNA
Rfam family: Bacterial small subunit ribosomal RNA
Source: RNAcentral
UAAUACGUAGGGGGCAAGCGUUGUCCGGAUUUAUUGGGCGUAAAGAGCUCGUAGGCGGCCGUCCACGUCGGAUGUGAAAGCUCGGGGCUCAACCCUGAGAGGCCAUUCGAUACGGGACGGCUAGAGGCAGGUAGGGGAGAUUGGAAUUCCUGGUGUAGCGGUGAAAUGCGCAGAUAUCAGGAGGAACACCGGUGGCGAAGGCGGAUCUCUGGGCCUUGCCUGACGCUGAGGAGCGAAAGCUGGGGGAGCGAACAGGAUUAGAUACCCUGGUAGUCCCAGCCGUAAACGUUGGGUGCUAGGUGUGGGGCGGUCUUCAACCCGCUCCGUGCCGCAGCUAACGCAUUAAGCACCCCGCCUGGGGAGUACGGCCGCAAGGCUA